Molecule: small nuclear RNA, 74 nt
Organism: Danio rerio (zebrafish)
Lineage: Eukaryota; Metazoa; Chordata; Actinopteri; Cypriniformes; Danionidae
Source: Ensembl
GUGCUUGCUACGGUGGCACAUAUACUAAAAUUGGAUCGAUACAGAGAAGAUUAGCAUGGCCCCUGCGAAAAGGA